ACUAUUUUGGCAGAAAAUUGUAUUGAUUUUAGAAGUCAUAAAUAUAUAAAAGUUAUUAUAUAGGUAGUA
This 69-nucleotide transfer RNA is filed under the name Thaumetopoea solitaria. RNAcentral's name for it is "transfer RNA-Leu". Lineage: Eukaryota; Metazoa; Arthropoda; Insecta; Lepidoptera; Notodontidae. The record is from RNAcentral.